GGAUGUGAGGGCAUUCUGCUGUGACAUCUGUCACUCCAUUGAUCACCAGGGUUGUUCCAGCUGAUCUGGCUGGCUAGGCGGGUGUCCCCUUCCUCCCUCACCGCACCGCUCCAUGUGCAUCCCUCCCAAAGCUGCGCGCUUGGUGGAAGAGGACGGCCUUCCCCAAAUAGAGAUGGAUAGGUCUUUGGUUGAGGUUAUAGGAGUAGCUGCGCUCCCCUGCUAGAACCUCCAAACAAGCUCUCAAGAAAGGAAAAGAAAAAUAAAUAAAUAAAAGGAAAUGUAUAAUUGUAAUAAAAUUUAC
Molecule: small nuclear RNA, 301 nt
Filed under: Erinaceus europaeus (western European hedgehog)
Lineage: Eukaryota; Metazoa; Chordata; Mammalia; Eulipotyphla; Erinaceidae
Description: 7SK RNA
Rfam family: 7SK RNA
About the family: 7SK was discovered as an abundant small nuclear RNA in the mid-70s but a possible function has only recently been suggested. Two independent studies have found that 7SK RNA binds the CDK9/cyclin T complex (known as elongation factor P-TEFb).
Source: Rfam by way of RNAcentral